CAUGUUGUGAGCCACGAGGAAGGGGCUCUAAGCCCCUUGGGCCCUCUGGGGCCUCCCAGCCCCGGCUGGGGGGGGCUGCAGGGACCUGGAACAGCAUAAAGCUGGGCUGGGUGCCUGUAGUUAUGCUGGGAGAUGUUUUCUCCAUGGGCGCAGAGCAGCAGCCGGGACUGACCAGAGAAACGGUGGCAGAGAGCCAGAGAUAAGAACCAGAACUGAAGGAGCAGCAGAAGCAACAUGCAGCACCAGAGAAAAGACUCCUGGAAAGGGAGAGAGAGAGAACCAGCAGCUGAGAGACAGAGUUUUGGUCCACAGGUGAGGCCUUCGCUUGGACCGAAGGAGAGCCGAGGGGCUUGGAGACCCCCUUGUGUAUGUUGAACAGAGAUCCAGCUACAGCAACCCAGUUACUGCUGCAUGGAGGACAGAAGAGGAGCUGCUGCUUAAGGACUGGAAGGGAUCUGUCCUUCUUUCCCUCCUGGACUUUUAUUUGGAGGGGAGAAGAGAUCUGAUCAUUGUAAAUACUAUAUGUCAUGGUAGAGAUAGUUGUGAUCGUGUGUAUAAUGUGAUAUGGUAUUUAUUUGUACAGUCAUUGUAAUAUAUUCCCUUUCCCCCAC
Long non-coding RNA from Pseudopipra pipra, 611 nucleotides. RefSeq lists it as uncharacterized. The record is from RefSeq and is a predicted model, not a curated record. The transcript has 2 exons. Lineage: Eukaryota; Metazoa; Chordata; Aves; Passeriformes; Pipridae.